CAGGCCUAACACAUGCAAGUCGGACGGUAGCACAGAGGAGCUUGCUCCUCGGGUGACGAGUGGCGGACGGGUGAGUAAUGUCUGGGGAUCUGCCCGAUAGAGGGGGAUAACCACUGGAAACGGUGGCUAAUACCGCAUAACGUCGCAAGACCAAAGAGGGGGACCUUCGGGCCUCUCACUAUCGGAUGAACCCAGAUGGGAUUAGCUAGUAGGCGGGGUAACGGCCCACCUAGGCGACGAUCCCUAGCUGGUCUGAGAGGAUGACCAGCCACACUGGAACUGAGACACGGUCCAGACUCCUACGGGAGGCAGCAGUGGGGAAUAUUGCACAAUGGGCGCAAGCCUGAUGCAGCCAUGCCGCGUGUAUGAAGAAGGCCUUCGGGUUGUAAAGUACUUUCAGCGGGGAGGAAGGCAUUGCGGUUAAUAACCGCAGUGAUUGACGUUACCCGCAGAAGAAGCACCGGCUAACUCCGUGCCAGCAGCCGCGGUAA
RNAcentral lists this ribosomal RNA (491 nucleotides) under uncultured bacterium. RNAcentral's name for it is "bacterial SSU rRNA". It matches the Rfam family "Bacterial small subunit ribosomal RNA", at positions 43 to 523 of the family's 1533-position model. The record is from RNAcentral.